Molecule: unclassified non-coding RNA, 269 nt
Filed under: plant metagenome
Description: partial contains small subunit ribosomal RNA, internal transcribed spacer 1, and 5.8S ribosomal RNA
Source: RNAcentral
UUUCCGUAGGUGAACCUGCGGAAGGAUCAUUAAUGAGUUGUCAUGGGGUUCGAUGCUGGCAGCCAAUUUUUGGAUGCAUGUGCUUGCCCUAACAAUCAUCUUCCAAACACCUGUGCACAUUUUUGAGUGAGUCUUGAGUUGGUUGCCGCUCUUGGGUGAUUUUCUCACAUUCCCUUAAAUCAUUAUACGCUAUUAACAAUGUUGAACGUGCUCUGUGCCGCAAGGCUAUUAAUAUAAUACAACUUUUAACAACGGAUCUCUUGGCUCUC